Molecule: long non-coding RNA, 1600 nt
Filed under: Mus musculus (house mouse)
Lineage: Eukaryota; Metazoa; Chordata; Mammalia; Rodentia; Muridae
Description: long non-coding RNA chr3:55449166-55450766
Source: RNAcentral
AUGAUCAUAUGCUAAUGAAAGCAUGAUUUGAGUGAGACACCAAAUAGAGGACAAGGACUUUUUAAGAAUUUAUGGGAGUUGGAGGAAUGACUUAGCCGUUAAUGGUUGAGUUCCCAGCAGACCACAUGGCAGAUCACAACCAUUGGUCACUCGAGAUCCAGGAGAUCCAGUGCCCUCUUCUGGUCUCCAUGGGCACUGCAUGCAUAUGGUGGGCAUACAGGCAAGCAGGUUCACAAACACAGAAAGGUACAUUUUUAAGAGAUAAUUUAAGGAGAGAAUUCCUUAUCUUCCAACCCACUCAUUCAGCAAAUAUUUUGAGCACUGACAAUGUAUUCUUCUAGUUACUAAAAAUUGAAUUUCAAGUUCCAAGGACUAAACACAUAUGAGGGAAAUAACCAGGUGACUAAAUGCUCAUUUAUGGGGAUGCUACUGAGUUAUUACCGUAACUAAAUGCUGAAAGCAGUUUAAAGUUUAAAUGCUUAAGUGAACUAGAAUUCUCCGUGUGGCAAAAUGCUUGACAGCUACCAAAUGCCAGUGUGUAAAGGCCCAUGAGUUAGUUUGCUUUUCUGUUGCUGUGACAGAGACCAUGCAACCUGAGGAUCAAAGGUUUAUUUGGAGUAUUCAUCCCCCAAUACCACUUCCAUCACUGAGGGAAGCCAAGGGGAUAACUCAAGUGGGGCAGGAACCUGGAGGCACGAACUGAAGCUGAGACCGUGGAGGAGUGCUGGUCAUUGAUUUGUUCCUUGGGUUGUGCUCAGCUUGCUUUUUUAUACCACCCAAAACCACCUUGUCCAGAGGUGGCACUAGCUAUAGUGGGCUGGACUAUACCACAUCAAUCAUCAGUCAAGGAGAUGUGACACAGACAUGCUCUCGGGCCAAUUCAAUGCAGGCUUUUCUCAACUGAAGUUCCCUCUUCCCAAAUGGUUCUAGCUUAUGUCAAGUUGAGAAAAAAAAUUUAACUAGCACUCCCAAGAGCUACUUGAAGCGAAAGAGGGUUAGCCACAGAACACUAGGUAGAUCAACUUCCUUGUUACUUAAAAAUACAAAUGAUUAGAAAAAUAUUCUAGAACUUUAAAAAGAAGGCAUAAUUUGAUCAUGGGUUAUCAGGGAAUCUUAGUAUACAUAUUUUUAAUCUAAUUGAUUAUCAUUUCAAAAAAUGUUUUAAAUAUAAACUAUGGAUUCUUGGAAGCAAGAUGUUGUGCAUUUACAUGUCAUAAUUAAUCCAGACCUUUCACGAAGACAAAAAUAGGGCUUUUUAAAAAAUUAUUUACAGUACUUAGCACUGAAUGUAAUGAACAUGAGAACUGAGAGUUUACGUAUAGAGGAGACUGUUUUUCAUCUUCACAGAAAGGCACUCUUAUAGAUGCAAAGCCAGCUUCCUUGCAGCUUCCUGAUGGUAUAUUGAAGGUCACCAUGUCCUUGUAAGAAGGACCAUUACACCUGAUUUCCAGUGUUACCCACCUCUAGCUCCCACAUAUCACACUGAUGCAAUUAUCCCAAUAAGGGCCCAGGACAAUACACAGGGGCCUGUCAAAGUGGGUGGGAGCUUCCCUCACAUGUCUUUCUUUGUAAAGUUGAACGUUCUAACGUUUUAUUUGGC